UGCAUGAGCGUCAGUGCAGGCCCAGGGGAUUGCCUUCGCCAUCGGUGUUCCUCCGCAUAUCUACGCAUUUCACUGCUACACGCGGAAUUCCAUCCCCCUCUGCCGCACUCUAGCCUUGCAGUCACAAUGGCAGUUCCCAGGUUGAGCCCGGGGAUUUCACCACUGUCUUACAAAACCGCCUGCGCACGCUUUACGCCCAGUAAUUCCGAUUAACGCUUGCACCCUACGUAUUACCGCGGCUGCUGGCACGUAGUUAGCCGGUGCUUAUUCUUACGGUACCGUCAUGACCCGGGGAUAUUAGCCCCAGGCUUUUCGUUCCGUACAAAAGCAGUUUACAACCCGAGGGCCUUCAUCCUGCACGCGGCAUUGCUGGAUCAGGCUUUCGCCCAUUGUCCAAAAUUCCCCACUGCUGCCUCCCGUAGGAGUCUGGGCCGUGUCUCAGUCCCAGUGUGGCUGGUCGUCCUCUCAGACCAGCUACAGAUCGCAGGCUUGGUAAGCCUUUACCCCACCAACUACCUAAUCUGCCAUCAGCCGCUCUAGUAGCACAAGGCCCGAAGGUCCCCUGCUUUCAUCCGUA
RNAcentral lists this ribosomal RNA (577 nucleotides) under Comamonas thiooxydans. RNAcentral describes it as "partial 16S rRNA". Lineage: Bacteria; Pseudomonadati; Pseudomonadota; Betaproteobacteria; Burkholderiales; Comamonadaceae. The record is from RNAcentral.